AUGGAAAUAAUUCUGCCCUCCCAUUCUCAAGGGCCAGGGGGAAUUCUAAUAUUGAACGGAAGUGAUUUGGGAAUUGCAUGGAAUUCUCACUGCCAUCCCAAAGAAAUGCUGAUCUUGUCACUCUUACCUGUUCCGUUGCCUGGGCAGAACAAAAGGAUGCACUUCAAAGAUCGGCAUGAACCAAGAACUGGGUUUCAUAUGAAAUAUUUUACUCUGUCCUCUUGA
This 225-nucleotide long non-coding RNA is filed under the name Piliocolobus tephrosceles (Ugandan red Colobus). Its description in RNAcentral is "lncRNA (ENSPTEG00000038973.1)". The record is from RNAcentral. Lineage: Eukaryota; Metazoa; Chordata; Mammalia; Primates; Cercopithecidae.